UCCAGCUAACAUGAAGGCUGCAUGCACCUUGUGUCUGCCAAAACAGUUAAAAAACAAAGUUAAAGUUAUAAAGGAUGACAUUUUGGCAUAUUCUAUAGCUGUCCUGGCAGCAGCUGCCCUGCUGCUAAUCAUCUGAUUCCCUCCACCUGUGCCUGCUCCUAUAAAGCUCUGCCUCUGCCUUUCACUCUUGCUGGAUCGUUGCACUGCAAGCACUCAGAAGACUCACCUACUCUGUUUGUUGGCAGCAAAAUCCUGUUCUGCCAACCACUCUGUUCAACUCAAAGCCAGCAUACUCAGCCUGUGUUCCUGCAUCUGCUCUAGUCCUCAUGGUGCCUGCUCCUGUCUGCCUGCUCCUGUCUCUCUGCUGCAUCAUUUCACCCCAAGCCUCAUAAGUCUCCUCAACUUUGAUGUUUGGAGCUUUUCCCAGAGACCUCUGGUGAUUAUUUGGAUUGGAAAACAAGUUUGUCACUGAACCCCAACUUCCUGAGUUUACUGCGCCCUCCUGGCUUUCCCUCUCCUCAUUACAAUUUGUGUCUGGAGCCACGCCUUCCCUUGCUCUUCAGAGGACUCCACUCUGUCCCUGCAGUCUGUUCUCCUCAUCCCAUGUCCGUGCAUUGGCUGGGUUGUUCGACGCCAGGGGGUCCUCCAAGACAAAGGCUUAAUAAAUCUGGUUUCUUGAA
Long non-coding RNA from Oryzias melastigma (Indian medaka), 680 nucleotides. RefSeq lists it as uncharacterized. The record is from RefSeq and is a predicted model, not a curated record. NCBI's taxonomy places the organism in Eukaryota, Metazoa, Chordata, Actinopteri, Beloniformes, Adrianichthyidae. The transcript has 2 exons.